CAAGGCGAUGAUGGUUAACCGGCCUGAGAGGGUGUUCGGUCACACUGGAACUGAGAUACGGUCCAGACUCCUACGGGAGGCAGCAGUGAGGAAUAUUGCGCAAUGGGCGAAAGCCUGACGCAGCGACGCCGCGUGGAGGAUGAAGGUCUUCGGAUUGUAAACUUCUGUUAAGUGGGAAGAAAGGGCUGUUUUUAAUAGAAGCAGUUAAUGACGGUACCAUUAAAGAAAGCACCGGCUAAACUCGUGCCAGCAGCCGCGGUAAUACGAGUGGUGCAAGCGUUAUUCGGAAUAAUUGGGCGUACAGGGUGUGUAGGCGGUAUGUUAAGUCUGUUGUUAAAGACUCCGGCCUAACCGGAGACAGGCAGCGGAAACUGGCGUACUAGAGGGUGGAAGAGAGAAGUGGAAUUCUCGGUGUAGCGGUAAAAUGCGUAGAUAUCGAGAGGAACACCGAUGGCGAAGGCAGCUUCUUGGUCCAUACCUGACGCUGAAACACGAAAGCGUGGGGAGCAAACAGGAUUAGAUACCCUGGUAGUCCACGCUGUAAACGAUGAUCACUAGACGUUGGUUCUGUUUUACAGAAUCAGUGUCGCAGCUAACGCG
RNAcentral lists this ribosomal RNA (600 nucleotides) under uncultured bacterium. Its description in RNAcentral is "bacterial SSU rRNA". It matches the Rfam family "Bacterial small subunit ribosomal RNA", at positions 269 to 859 of the family's 1533-position model. The record is from RNAcentral.